AUACGGAGGGUGCAAGCGUUAUCCGGAAUCAUUGGGUUUAAAGGGUCCGUAGGCGGGCUAAUAAGUCAGGGGUGAAAUCCCACAGCUUAACUGUGGAACUGCCCUUGAUACUGUUGGUCUUGAGUUACAGUGAAGUGGUUAGAAUGUGUAGUGUAGCGGUGAAAUGCAUAGAGAUUACACAGAAUACCGAUUGCGAAGGCAGAUCACUAACUGUAUACUGACGCUAAUGGACGAAAGCGUGGGGAGCGAACAGGAUUAGAAACCCCGGUAGUCC
Molecule: ribosomal RNA, 274 nt
Filed under: uncultured bacterium
Lineage: Bacteria
Description: partial 16S ribosomal RNA
Rfam family: Bacterial small subunit ribosomal RNA
Source: RNAcentral